RNAcentral lists this ribosomal RNA (422 nucleotides) under uncultured bacterium. Its description in RNAcentral is "bacterial SSU rRNA". It matches the Rfam family "Bacterial small subunit ribosomal RNA", at positions 43 to 507 of the family's 1533-position model. The record is from RNAcentral.
UGUGCUUCACACAUGCAAGUCGAGCGAGGUAGCAAUACCUAGUGGCGGACGGGUGAGUAACGCGUGGGAAUCUGCCUUUAGAUGGGGGAUAACGGGUCGAAAGACUCGCUAAUACCGCAUAUGACGAAAGUUGAAAGGAGUAAUCCGUCUAAAGAUGAGCCCGCGUCCGAUUAGCCAGUUGGUAGAGUAAAAGCCUACCAAGGCGACGAUCGGUAGCUGGUCUGAGAGGAUGAUCAGCCACAAUGGGACUGAGACACGGCCCAUACUCCUACGGGAGGCAGCAGUGGGGAAUUUUACGCAAUGGGCGAAAGCCUGACGUAGCGACACCGCGUGAGCGAAGAAGCCUCUUGGGGUGUAAAGCUCUGUCAGCUGGAACGAAAAAAAUGACGGUACCAGCAGAGGAAGCAUCGGCUAACUACGUG